GACGAACGCUGGCGGCGUGCUUAACACAUGCAAGUCGAACGGAAAGGCCCUGCUUUUGUGGGGUGCUCGAGUGGCGAACGGGUGAGUAACACGUGAGUAACCUGCCCUUGACUUUGGGAUAACUUCAGGAAACUGGGGCUAAUACCGGAUAGGAGCUCCUGCUGCAUGGUGGGGGUUGGAAAGUUUCGGCGGUUGGGGAUGGACUCGCGGCUUAUCAGCUUGUUGGUGGGGUAGUGGCUUACCAAGGCUUUGACGGGUAGCCGGCCUGAGAGGGUGACCGGCCACAUUGGGACUGAGAUACGGCCCAGACUCCUACGGGAGGCAGCAGUGGGAGAUAUUGCACAAUGGGCGGAAGCCUGAUGCAGCACCGCCGCGUGCGGGAUGACGGCCUUCGGGUUGUAAACCGCUUUCGCCUGUGACGAAGCGUGAGUGACGGUAAUGGGUAAAGAAGCACCGGCUAACUACGUG
This 468-nucleotide ribosomal RNA is filed under the name uncultured bacterium. RNAcentral describes it as "partial 16S ribosomal RNA". It matches the Rfam family "Bacterial small subunit ribosomal RNA", at positions 28 to 507 of the family's 1533-position model. The record is from RNAcentral.